CUUCCCUUCUUUCUUUCUUUCAUUUCGUGCUUUCAUUACAACCGAAAUGAAAAGAAAUGAAAGAAGAGAAGGGAAAGAGACAAAGAAAUAUAAUGUGGUGUUCUUUUUUCUCUCUUCUUUGUGUUCAUUUCGCUUACAAUGAAAUGAACAAAAGAAGAA
Molecule: non-coding RNA, 159 nt
Filed under: Symbiodinium sp. CCMP2430
Lineage: Eukaryota; Dinophyceae; Suessiales; Symbiodiniaceae
Source: RNAcentral